Molecule: small RNA, 494 nt
Filed under: Vigna angularis var. angularis
Lineage: Eukaryota; Viridiplantae; Streptophyta; Magnoliopsida; Fabales; Fabaceae
Description: Non-protein coding transcript
Source: RNAcentral
CUCCUGCAAGAAAGAAAACCUAUAAGAAUACACCUGAGGCAGAAAAGGGUAAGAAAAAGAGAGAAGAAGAACUCGUCGGCAUCAGAAAGGUCAAACGCGAAGAAUCUCUUCUCAAGAAACGAAGAGAGACUCAUACCACCCAGUCCUUUGACACGUUCUUGGAAGAUAUUCCUGAAGAUGCACUGAAACUAUGGUCUGAGAACACUGACGAACAGUUGGCGGCAGCCAUGAGCCUGGGAAGUCUGCUAGAACUCGAGAACCCUCCAAUUGAAGAGGUCGUUUCGACGGGUGUUGUCCCUCGCUUUGUGGAGUUCUUGUCAAGGGAAGAUACACCUCGGUUGCAGUUAGAGUCUGUCUGUGUUCUAACUAAUCUUGCUUCGGGAGCAUCUCAAUUCACAACAGUUCUAGUAGACCAUGGUGUUAUUCCCCCUUUGGUGAAUCUUCUCAGUUGUACCGAUGAUAAUAUCAAAGAACAGACCGUAGGGGCUUUAGGG